Molecule: small nuclear RNA, 19 nt
Filed under: Arabidopsis thaliana (thale cress)
Lineage: Eukaryota; Viridiplantae; Streptophyta; Magnoliopsida; Brassicales; Brassicaceae
Description: snRNA_11537
Source: RNAcentral
CUUUGUCUACAUUUGGGAA